UUCCUUUCUGAGCUGGGUCUGGACAGAGGAGACGAAGGGGAGCAGGAAUCUUGGGACUCUGAGUCCGGAUCAGAAAAUCCCAAAUUACAACAUGAAGAGAAUCAAAGCGUACUCACUAAGGAUCAAGAAGAGAUACCCACUGUUAAAGAAGACAAUAAAGAAACUGUCAGCAGCAGUAAGGCAGAUAAUGGAGGAGCAGAGGUUGAUAAAGAUGAUACUACGCAGAGAGAGGUAAGUCCAUUGACCCAGUGCCAAUAUAUGUAAACAAAACUGCUUCACUGGAUCAAAUGGCAUCUUUAUUCUCAUUAUC
RNAcentral lists this long non-coding RNA (310 nucleotides) under Sphaeramia orbicularis (orbiculate cardinalfish). RNAcentral's name for it is "lncRNA (ENSSORG00005015451.1)". Lineage: Eukaryota; Metazoa; Chordata; Actinopteri; Kurtiformes; Apogonidae. The record is from RNAcentral.